AUACUUACCUGGCAGGGGAAAUACUGUGACCACUAAAGUGGUUUUCCUAGUCACUGGGGAUAACUGCUUUUCUGGCAUGGGGUAGUAUCCGCAGAGGUAAUGUAUAGUUACCUU
Molecule: small nuclear RNA, 114 nt
Filed under: Crocodylus porosus (Australian saltwater crocodile)
Lineage: Eukaryota; Metazoa; Chordata; Crocodylia; Crocodylidae
Description: U1 spliceosomal RNA (ENSCPRG00005011298.1)
Source: RNAcentral